CACCUUCAAAGACUGGGCGUACAAGCACAAUAAUAUACACUAUGCAUACACCACCAGGGGACAAAAAAUCUAAUGUGUGUGAAGUUAAAACUGCAACGGCAAGUCCCGCUACCUCCAGGCCUCUGAAGCGUUCACUGUUCCAGGACUCAAAGAUUAAUAAAAACUCCAAUAAGUCAAGUAA
Molecule: long non-coding RNA, 181 nt
Organism: Aricia agestis (brown argus)
Lineage: Eukaryota; Metazoa; Arthropoda; Insecta; Lepidoptera; Lycaenidae
Exons: 3
Source: RefSeq, a predicted model, not a curated record